AAAUUGAAGAGUUUGAUCAUGGCUCAGAUUGAACGCUGGCGGCAGGCCUAACACAUGCAAGUCGAGCGGAAACGAGUUAUCUGAACCUUCGGGGAACGAUAAAGGCGUCGAGCGGCGGACGGGUGAGUAAUGCCUAGGAAAUUGCCCUGAUGUGGGGGAUAACCAUUGGAAACGAUGGCUAAUACCGCAUGAUGCCUACGGGCCAAAGAGGGGGACCUUCGGGCCUCUCGCGUCAGGAUAUGCCUAGGUGGGAUUAGCUAGUUGGUGAGGUAAGGGCUCACCAAGGCGACGAUCCCUAGCUGGUCUGAGAGGAUGAUCAGCCACACUGGAACUGAGACACGGUCCAGACUCCUACGGGAGGCAGCAGUGGGGAAUAUUGCACAAUGGGCGCAAGCCUGAUGCAGCCAUGCCGCGU
This 415-nucleotide ribosomal RNA is filed under the name Vibrio parahaemolyticus. Its description in RNAcentral is "bacterial SSU rRNA". It matches the Rfam family "Bacterial small subunit ribosomal RNA", at positions 1 to 402 of the family's 1533-position model. The record is from RNAcentral. Lineage: Bacteria; Pseudomonadati; Pseudomonadota; Gammaproteobacteria; Vibrionales; Vibrionaceae.